This 453-nucleotide ribosomal RNA is filed under the name Micromonospora sp. ADMT 18. RNAcentral's name for it is "bacterial SSU rRNA". It matches the Rfam family "Bacterial small subunit ribosomal RNA", at positions 562 to 1011 of the family's 1533-position model. Lineage: Bacteria; Bacillati; Actinomycetota; Actinomycetes; Micromonosporales; Micromonosporaceae. The record is from RNAcentral.
AAAGAGCUCGUAGGCGGCUUGUCGCGUCGACCGUGAAAACUUGGGGCUCAACCCCAAGCCUGCGGUCGAUACGGGCAGGCUAGAGUUCGGUAGGGGAGACUGGAAUUCCUGGUGUAGCGGUGAAAUGCGCAGAUAUCAGGAGGAACACCGGUGGCGAAGGCGGGUCUCUGGGCCGAUACUGACGCUGAGGAGCGAAAGCGUGGGGAGCGAACAGGAUUAGAUACCCUGGUAGUCCACGCUGUAAACGUUGGGCGCUAGGUGUGGGGGGCCUCUCCGGUUCCCUGUGCCGCAGCUAACGCAUUAAGCGCCCCGCCUGGGGAGUACGGCCGCAAGGCUAAAACUCAAAGGAAUUGACGGGGGCCCGCACAAGCGGCGGAGCAUGCGGAUUAAUUCGAUGCAACGCGAAGAACCUUACCUGGGUUUGACAUGGCCGCAAAACCUCCAGAGAUGGGG